This is a non-coding RNA of Heterocephalus glaber (naked mole-rat), 1069 nucleotides long. The record is from RefSeq and is a predicted model, not a curated record. NCBI's taxonomy places the organism in Eukaryota, Metazoa, Chordata, Mammalia, Rodentia, Bathyergidae.
CCCUGCAGGGCCUCUGGAACCCAGCAGAGGGCGGCAGUUGUCUUCUUACAGACCGCCUGGUGCCGCCAAAGGCCCCAGGGUUUCACCUCCGCCAGGCGGGCCUCCGGACCCCGCCCCCAGGAGGCUUCCAGGGCUCUCGAGGCCUAAGGGGGCUGUGGCGGCAAGAUGGCCUCUCCGCCUUAGCCAGGAAACCUAAUGUGGCACAGAAAAGAGACCUGAAAACCAAUAGUUGAAGAACGACCAAGAGGCUGAGUAGAGAACCCAGGGCUCUGAUGAAAGCAGGAAAACUCAGCCUCUCUCCAGAGACCAAGUCCUAUGAUUUACAGCCAGCACUCCCCGGGACAGAGAAGGUAACCCAGGCGCCUGCUGAGGAGGAUGCAAGGCUGUGGCAGGCCCAGCAGACGCUGGGUCCCCUGAUGCCUGGAGUUCGAGGCACACAGAUUGCAGGGUACCAUAGCCUGGACUACCCCAGGGAGAGCAAGGUGACUCAAUGAGGACUCCUGUGCAGAGGCAGGAGGCAGGCUGUACCUGGGACCCUCCUUCUGUAGGCUCUGGCUCCUGGAGGCCUACAAAGCCCAGCUCUCCUCUAGUGCUAUGAGACAUCAAGUAUCAGGACACAGAAGAGACAAAGUUAGUGGGUGGAGGCAGCUCUUGGUAACAUACUUCAGACAAGCUACCAGAGCCCAUUAAGGAGGAGAAUUCCAGGAACCAAAACCAAGCUGAACAAGGAAGGGGAGAUGAGCAAAAGAGAAACCAGUUCCUGGUUAGAGAACCACCUUUUCUUCAACAAAUAUCCACUGCUCUCAUGAAGUGCUCUAGCAUUUGACAAAUAAUCUAACAACUAAUCAGUCACAAUCUUGAUCGAUGCUAUUAAAGAGAAGGAUGGUUUCUGCCAGAGUAGAGAUCUGACAUGGCAUCAGGAGAGUCUCCCAAAGAAAGUAACAAACUGGGGCCAAUGUGCAUGAGGGUAUGCAGCUGGGCAGGUACUAUCCGUGGUGAAGCUAAUAAAAACACUAGGGUUGCAUACCCACUAUGUGCUGGACUCUGUUGUCCUUGUUCCUUCAUCCUU